Molecule: ribosomal RNA, 424 nt
Filed under: uncultured bacterium
Lineage: Bacteria
Description: partial 16S ribosomal RNA
Rfam family: Bacterial small subunit ribosomal RNA
Source: RNAcentral
AAUAUUGGACAAUGGGCGAAAGCCUGAUCCAGCCAUGCCGCGUGUGUGAAGAAGGUCUUCGGAUUGUAAAGCACUUUAAGUUGGGAGGAAGGGCAGUAAGUUAAUACCUUGCUGUUUUGACGUUACCGACAGAAUAAGCACCGGCUAACUUCGUGCCAGCAGCCGCGGUAAUACGUAGGGUGCAAGCGUUAAUCGGAAUUACUGGGCGUAAAGCGCGCGUAGGUGGUUUGUUAAGUUGGAAGUGAAAGCCCCGGGCUCAACCUGGGAACUGCUUUCAAAACUGACGAGCUAGAGUACGGUAGAGGGUAGUGGAAUUUCCUGUGUAGCGGUGAAAUGCGUAGAUAUGUGGAGGAAUACCGAUGGCGAAGGCGACUACCUGGACUGAUACUGACACUGAGGUGCGAAAGCGUGGGGAGCAAACAGG